Molecule: ribosomal RNA, 491 nt
Filed under: uncultured bacterium
Lineage: Bacteria
Description: partial 16S ribosomal RNA
Rfam family: Bacterial small subunit ribosomal RNA
Source: RNAcentral
AGUGAACGCUGGCGGUAGGCCUAACACAUGCAAGUCGAACGGCAGCACAGUAAGAGCUUGCUCUUACGGGUGGCGAGUGGCGGACGGGUGAGGAAUACAUCGGAAUCUACUUUUUCGUGGGGGAUAACGUAGGGAAACUUACGCUAAUACCGCAUACGACCUACGGGUGAAAGCAGGGGAUCUUCGGACCUUGCGCGAUUGAAUGAGCCGAUGUCGGAUUAGCUAGUUGGCGGGGUAAAGGCCCACCAAGGCGACGAUCCGUAGCUGGUCUGAGAGGAUGAUCAGCCACACUGGAACUGAGACACGGUCCAGACUCCUACGGGAGGCAGCAGUGGGGAAUAUUGGACAGUGGGCGCAAGCCUGAUCCAGCCAUACCGCGUGGGUGAAGAAGGCCUUCGGGUUGUAAAGCCCUUUUGUUGGGAAAGAAAAGCAGCAGGUUAAUACCCCGCUGUUCUGACGGUACCCAAAGAAUAAGCGCCGGCUAACUUCGU